ACGGGGGCAGCAGUAGGGAAUCUUCCACAAUGGGCGAAAGCCUGAUGGAGCAACGCCGCGUGAGUGAAGAAGGAUUUCGGUUCGUAAAACUCUGUUGCAAGGGAAGAACAAGUAGCGUAGUAACUGGCGCUACCUUGACGGUACCUUGUUAGAAAGCCACGGCUAACUACGUGCCAGCAGCCGCGGUAAUACGUAGGUGGCAAACGUUGUCCGGAAUUAUUGGGCGUAAAGCGCGCGCAGGUGGUUCCUUAAGUCUGAUGUGAAAGCCCACGGCUCAACCGGGGAGGGUCAUUGGAAACUGGGGAACUUGAGUGCAGAAGAGGAAAGUGGAAUUCCAAGUGUAGCGGUGAAAUGCGUAGAGAUUUGGAGGAACACCAGUGGCGAAGGCGACUUUCUGGUCUGUAACUGACACUGAGGCGCGAAAGCGUGGGGAGCAACCAGGAUUAGAUACCCUGGUA
This 458-nucleotide ribosomal RNA is filed under the name uncultured Solibacillus sp. Its description in RNAcentral is "partial 16S ribosomal RNA". It matches the Rfam family "Bacterial small subunit ribosomal RNA", at positions 341 to 792 of the family's 1533-position model. Lineage: Bacteria; Bacillati; Bacillota; Bacilli; Caryophanales; Caryophanaceae. The record is from RNAcentral.